AACGAAAAAAUAAACGAAAAAAUAAACUAUUUACAUACCGACAUGAAUGAUAAUGACGUACACUCUUAUAUAAAUAUAGACGAUUGUAAUGAUCAUAUGUCCACAUUAACAAAAUAUAAUAUACAAAAACCAAUAAAUAUAUUAGAUAAAUGUCAAAAAAAUAUAUCACAUGAAAAAACGAAUAAAAAAAAAAAUGUCAAAUUACAGGAAGAAAUAGAAGAGAUUAAAUAUAAUAAUGAUGAAUGUUUUGUUUAUUCAAAAGAAAAGGAAUCAGGAAAUAAAAAAAAAAUUUACUUUGAUCAUUCUUCUUCUGGUGACUACCAGUUAGAAAAUCAAACUAGUAAUUUAUCCAAAUAUGAAAAAAAAAAAAAAUUGUGUUUAAUAAAUGAAAAAGAAUCAUCUGAAUUUAAUGAUGAUUCAGAAACAUUAACAAAUAAACAUUUUCAAACAAUAUCAAAUUUGAAUGAUAAUAACGAAUUAAAAAUAAAUGUAAAAUGUGAUAACUUUUUGUCACCCAGAGAUAAUACAGUAGAAGUUGACACGGAUGUUGGAGAAAGUAUACAAAUUGAGAAAGGUGUACAAAUUGAAGAACAUGUAAGUAAUAAGAAUAAAAUGGGUAAAGAAAAAAAAAGAUUUUUGGUACCAAUUGACUAUGACCCCUACAAUAUAUAUUCAAACGAAGAGAACGAUAAUAAUUCAGAAAUACCAAGCGAGAAUAAUAAUGAUGAUAACAACAAUAACAACUACAACUAUAGCGACAAUUAUAAUAAUGAAAAAUAUUUAUUUUUAAAUAAAUUUCAAGAAAGAAAUAAUAUUAGAAAUGGUUGUAAAAUGUUUCAAAAUUUACGGAAUUUCUUAUCUUCAUUUACUUUUUAUUUCUUUUUUUUUAUUUUUAUAUAUGCAUUUUUAUUAUCAGUUAUGCAUAUAUUUAUUAACUAUUUUUUUUACAUAUAUUUGUUUGUAUUUAAUAUAAAUAUCUAUGUUUCAAACAUUUAUACAAUAAUUAUGACAUUUGUUUCUCUUUUAGCAAUACCAUUUUCUGGUUAUAUACUUGAUAAUAUAAACAACUUCUUGUCUCUUCUUGUGUGCUCUUCCCUUUUUAUUCUGACAGCAAUAUCAGGGUCCAUAUAUUGUUAUAUAAACAACAUAAGUUCGGAGUUAUUGGCUUUUAUAUUUUUCAACUUAAUAGGUAUAAGUGAAUCUGUUAUUCCAACAGUUAUUAUUUCCCAGAUACCAACUCAUUUAUGGUAUGGAAAAAAAAAUAAAACAGCCAAGUACACAAGUGUUUUUAUAUGCCACUUGAAAUUGACGAAUAUGUGUAUAUAUAGAUGCAUACAUACGUACACACAUACAUACCUGCAUACGUGUGUUAGUUUUAAUAAUUGAGUAUUAUCAAUAUGUUCGUUUCAACAACCAAAAUUAACUUUUAAUUUUAUAUCGUUAUUUUUAUUUUACUUUUUUUUAUGCAGCGUAAAAAGUAAUGAACAUAUUAUUGCUGCUUUCGCAAUAUUUGAGCUGGUUUCAAUGAUAAUCAUAAGUUUAAAUAAUUAUGCUUUUGGUUAUUUCUUAAUUAAAAAAGGUUACUUUAAUAUUUAUUUUUAAAAUUUAACUUAUAAAUAUAACAAUAUUGUUAUAACUUUUAUUUCAUAUUUUAUUAUAUUAUAUUUUAUUUCAUAUUUUAUUAUAUUUUAUUUUAUUAUAUUAUAUUAUAUUAUAUUAUAUUUUAUUAUAUUUUAUUUUAUUAUAUUAUAUUAUAUUAUAUUAUAUUUUAUUUUAUUUAUUUUUUUUUUUAACAGAGUACUUGAAGGGUCUAUACAUAUUACUUUUUUUGGUUAUACUUGUUAUUAUCCUUAUAAUUUUGUUAAUGGUGACAAUUUAUUUAAAAAAAAAAACAAAAAACUAUUCGUAUAAUAGUACAAAUAAUUUGUACUUAACACGCCCACUUCUUUAAAAUUAGCUUAUAUUUAUAUUUGUGUAUGGCGUUACUUUUUUUUUUUUAUUUUAUUUACUUUUUUUUACUUUAUAUUACUGCCCAUUUAAUGUUUUUAUGGUGUAUUUAACAUAGUUAUAAACUUAUAUUUUUUUAUUUGUGUUCCCCAUUUGACAUGUACACAUAUAUAUGUACAUAUAUGUGUGUAUAUAUAUUCAUGUAUGCUAUAAUGUAAUUCUAUUUAUAUUUACAUUUUUUUUUUUUUGUUAAUAUAAUAGUUAUGUAUGGAAACUUUUACUUAUUAAUAAAACAAAAUUUUAUGCGAGUUAUUAGUCUUGU
This 2269-nucleotide long non-coding RNA is filed under the name Piliocolobus tephrosceles (Ugandan red Colobus). Its description in RNAcentral is "lncRNA (ENSPTEG00000016720.1)". The record is from RNAcentral. Lineage: Eukaryota; Metazoa; Chordata; Mammalia; Primates; Cercopithecidae.